This is a non-coding RNA of Camellia sinensis, 187 nucleotides long. NCBI's taxonomy places the organism in Eukaryota, Viridiplantae, Streptophyta, Magnoliopsida, Ericales, Theaceae. The record is from RefSeq and is a predicted model, not a curated record.
CCUCCUCUUACAACUCCAUGUAGAAAUGUUGGUGUGGUCAUCCGUGAUGAGCACGACCUUAAUGUUAUCCGUGUUCGUGCGGCAAAAGAUAAAGAAAAGGUCAACCCAAUGUCUAAAGGAAAAGAAAAGAUGGCUCCUUCCGGCAAGAGAAUGACAAAUGCAUGUCAAGUGGUAUAUAUUCUUUUUU